GUCUCUGUGGCGCAAUUGGUUAGCGCGUUCGGCUGUUAACCAGAAGGUUGGUGGUUCAAGCCCACCCAGGGACG
RNAcentral lists this transfer RNA (74 nucleotides) under Petromyzon marinus (sea lamprey). RNAcentral's name for it is "tRNA-Asn (GTT) (tRNA-Asn-GTT-16-1)". It matches the Rfam family "tRNA". Rfam says of the family: Transfer RNA (tRNA) molecules are approximately 80 nucleotides in length. Their secondary structure includes four short double-helical elements and three loops (D, anti-codon, and T loops). Lineage: Eukaryota; Metazoa; Chordata; Hyperoartia; Petromyzontiformes; Petromyzontidae. The record is from RNAcentral.